Non-coding RNA from Vicia faba (fava bean), 207 nucleotides. The record is from the annotation of a GenBank genome assembly. NCBI's taxonomy places the organism in Eukaryota, Viridiplantae, Streptophyta, Magnoliopsida, Fabales, Fabaceae.
AUGCAUUUAAACAUUAUCAACCAAACAAGAAUACCUUUUCCAUCUCUAGCAUUUAGAUUUAGACAUCCUUUGUUUAUGGUUGUCUAUUAUCAUACCUCUUUUUUAUUGUUUUUCAGACUAGUAGUUGCUCUAAAUGCUUCUUCCAAUUCUCCAUUUUUACACUAUAAUACAGAUUUUUUUUUGUUGAAACAACCAACUAUUAUAUAG